GACGAACGCUGGCGGCGUGCCUAAUACAUGCAAGUAGAACGCUGAAGAGAGGAGCUUACUCUUCUUGGAUGAGUUGCGAACGGGUGAGUAACGCGUAGGUAACCUGCCUUGUAGCGGGGGAUAACUAUUGGAAACGAUAGCUAAUACCGCAUAACAAUGGAUGACACAUGUCAUUUAUUUGAAAGGGGCAAUUGCUCCACUACAAGAUGGACCUGCGUUGUAUUAGCUAGUAGGUGAGGUAAUGGCUCACCUAGGCGACGAUACAUAGCCGACCUGAGAGGGUGAGCGGCCAGACUGGGACUGAGACACGGCCCAGACUCCUACGGGAGGCAGCAGUAGGGAAUCUUCGGCAAUGGGGGCAACCCUGACCGAGCAACGCCGCGUGAGUGAAGAAGGUUUUCGGAUCGUAAAGCUCGGUUGUAAGUCAAGAACGGGUGUGAGAGUGGAAAGUUCACACUGUGACGGUAGCUUACCAGAAAGGGACGGCUAACUACGUG
RNAcentral lists this ribosomal RNA (497 nucleotides) under uncultured bacterium. Its description in RNAcentral is "partial 16S ribosomal RNA". It matches the Rfam family "Bacterial small subunit ribosomal RNA", at positions 28 to 507 of the family's 1533-position model. The record is from RNAcentral.